AAAGAAAAAUGAUUCUGUCCUGAGUCCCCAAAGGACAGUUUCAGAAGCUACUUCCAAGCCCUAAACAGCAUCGCUGCAAGAACCCAGCUUGCACCGCAGCCCACAGGGGCCUGUCCCCGGCCAGCUCGGGGCCACCCGCCCGGGGGUCUGUUCACGGAGUCAAGGUGGGGAGGCCGCUGGGGGGCUGGUCUCAGCACCAGCCACCCUUGGUGCCAUCAGCGCCCCCUCCCGCCAGGGGCCCCCAGCUGCCCGGGGCUUUCAUCACCAUCGUCUCAGGGACAGAAGCCCUUUGGAGCGCCUGUGGUUGCCUCGUGCUGCCAUGAUGGGCUGGGCGGCAUCCUGGGAUGGGCGUGGGCCCUCCCGUGACUGGCCGCGUUCCUCACGGUUGGAGCGCCAGGCGUCCUGUGGGGACACACAAGUCUCACCCCCUCCAGGGCUCCUCUUGCCUCUCUGCCCUCUGCGGGCCUCACACUCCCGCAGUCCUGGGCCCUGCACACUGCCUGGCGCUUAGACCGCAGCCCGUCACGGCGGGCUGGCCUCCUAGCCGGCGACCCCUGCUGUCAGCUCCUGCCCCGCCGUCCAUGCUCCUUUCCCCUGCUGUUCCCAGCCCGCUGCGUGUCCAGGGGCUGCGGACGGCGGGCGGGGCUUCUCGGAGGCCGUUGUCCGCCCUCAGGGCCCAGGCGGGAGCCGGUGUCCACACAGCUCUGUGGCCCCUGUUCGGUUGGUGGUCAGUCCUGCCUGUGGCCCUGGGGCUCGGAGCUCGUGUGGAUCCGGCUCCUGCUCCCUGCAGGAUGUGGCGUGUUCCGCGCCCGUCUGGCUGGGAGGCAGGGCCUCUGCUUCUGGAGGCCUCUGUGUGGUCUCCCUGACGUCCUCUCCUGCCCGCCCUCUGAAAUCUCCGUGUAGAGUCCCCGCCAGCUCGGUGCCGGGCCCCGGGGUCGCUGGUUGCGUCCUGUCUUUGCUCUUUCCCGUCUGUCUUGCGUGUCUCCGAGAGGCGUCCUCUGCGAUCUGAGCCCCUCCCCGCCGUCUGCGGGAGCCUGGGCCCCGCUGUGGGGCGCCGUGAGGCCGGUCUCGUUGCCGGUCUCUUAUCCGUCUAGGUUGCCUUAUUUUUAUCUUACAUUAGAAGCUCCUGCCCAUCCAGUGACCCCGGGUGUGCUUCUGUGGAUGCUUUCUCUGGGUGGGUGGGGUUAGGAGGCUGGCCGGGGCCCCCCUCUGGGCCUCCUCUGCCAGAUACCGGUGUAGCCCCCACCCCCUUACUGGAAGGGCCGCUGCCCAUCUGCUGGGGUUGGGGGGCUCAGCAGGGAGCUCCGCUGCCAGGCCCCCUCACUCUCCCCACCAGGCACAGAGAGAGACCCCCUCACUCCCCCCCCAGGACCAGAGAGANNNNNNNNNNNNNNNNNNNNNNNNNNNNNNNNNNNNNAUUCCCCCACGACCAGAGAGAGACCCCCUCACUCUCCCCAGGACCAGAGAGAGACGCUAUCACGCCCCCACCAGGCACAGAGAGAGACCUCCUUACUGCCCCCAGGACCAGAGAGAGACGCCCUCAGCCCCGCCCCCCACGAGGCGCAGAGAGCUGGUGAGGCCCUCUCUGGCUGUGCUGGUCAGCGGGCCUGCGGGGAGACCGUCUCCGCCACGGGUGUGUGUCCUGGGAGCAUCUUGGGGGCGUCUCAGGAAGGGAGCAUCUAAAACGGGCCUGUGGGCCUGAAGCUGGGCUCUGUCUCCUCCCGGGGAGUUGGGUCCCCUGGGGCAGGAGCGGGGUGACGCCCUCACCAGGACCCUCAAACCCUGGCUCCCCAGACUGAGCGCAGGCCACCCGUGGGCACAGCUCAGGCCCGCUGGUGGGGUCGGGAGGAAGGCCCAGCUCAGGGGAGACUGCCCGAAGGCUGCAGGGAAGGAGGGGCGGGACGGCCGGGCGGGUCCUGCACCGCAGCUCAGGGCCCUCUCAGCCGCACCUGCUGCCCAGGCUGGCGGGGAGGCCAGGGGCCCUGGGCAGGGCCUGGGCGUGAGGCUUUCAUCCCUUGCACAGCAGAGUGGCCUGGGGGAGCUCGUUGGGGUGAGGGCCGGUUGGGGGGCAGGCAGGAGCUCNNNNNNNNNNNNNNNNNNNNNNGAGUGAGGGCUGGGGCGCGAGCGCGGCAGCUGCUGUCUGCUGGCUGCUGUCGGCCAAGAGUGGCCAUCGCCAGCAGGUCAGGCCUGAGGCCGGCCUGGGCCCUGGUGGGACGGCUGUGACUGUGCCACAAGCUCGGGUCCCCAGUCCCACCAGGGGAGGCCCCUGCUCGCUCUGGGAGAGGCUGGGCCAGAGCGAUGCUGUUUCCACGGAGGAAAGUCUAUCUUUUAUUUAUUUAAUCCGAGCCAUUCUGUGAAUUAUUCAUUCACAUUUAUGUAAGCGAUUGAGCUACACGGAUCGUGGGAGCAGGUGAAGACACUGACUCUGCCCCGAAUCAAAGGGGCCGCCCCCUGGGUCCUCCCUGCACUCGCCCACUCGGCGGGCUCUGCCGCUCC
This 2496-nucleotide long non-coding RNA is filed under the name Capra hircus (goat). RNAcentral describes it as "lncRNA (ENSCHIG00010014880.1)". Lineage: Eukaryota; Metazoa; Chordata; Mammalia; Artiodactyla; Bovidae. The record is from RNAcentral.